CCUACGGGCGGCAGCAGUCGAGAAUCAUUCACAAUGGGGGAAACCCUGAUGGUGCGACGCCGCGUGGGGGAAUGAAGGUCUUCGGAUUGUAAACCCCUGUCAUGUGGGAGCAAAUUAAAAAGAUAGUACCACAAGAGGAAGAGACGGCUAACUCUGUGCCAGCAGCCGCGGUAAUACAGAGGUCUCAAGCGUUGUUCGGAAUCACUGGGCGUAAAGCGUGCGUAGGCUGUUGCGUAAGUCGUGUGUGAAAGGCGCGGGCUCAACCCGCGGACGGCACAUGAUACUGCGAGACUAGAGUGAUGGAGGGGGAAGCGGAAUUCUCGGUGUAGCAGUGAAAUGCGUAGAUAUCGAGAGGAACACUCGUGGCGAAGGCGGGUUCCUGGACAUUAACUGACGCUGAGGCACGAAGGCCAGGGGAGCGAAAGGGAUUAGAUACCCUUGUAGUC
This 446-nucleotide ribosomal RNA is filed under the name uncultured bacterium. Its description in RNAcentral is "partial 16S ribosomal RNA". It matches the Rfam family "Bacterial small subunit ribosomal RNA", at positions 338 to 795 of the family's 1533-position model. The record is from RNAcentral.